This 550-nucleotide ribosomal RNA is filed under the name uncultured bacterium. Its description in RNAcentral is "bacterial SSU rRNA". It matches the Rfam family "Bacterial small subunit ribosomal RNA", at positions 777 to 1327 of the family's 1533-position model. The record is from RNAcentral.
AAUAGAUACCCGGGUAGUCCACGCCGUAAACGAUGAGUGCUAAGUGUUAGGGGGUUUCCGCCCCUUAGUGCUGCAGCUAACGCAUUAAGCACUCCGCCUGGGGAGUACGGUCGCAAGACUGAAACUCAAAGGAAUUGACGGGGGCCCGCACAAGCGGUGGAGCAUGUGGUUUAAUUCGAAGCAACGCGAAGAACCUUACCAGGUCUUGACAUCCCAUUGACCACUAUGGAGACAUAGUUUUCCCUUCGGGGACAACGGUGACAGGUGGUGCAUGGUUGUCGUCAGCUCGUGUCGUGAGAUGUUGGGUUAAGUCCCGCAACGAGCGCAACCCUUGUUCUUAGUUGCCAUCAUUUAGUUGGGCACUCUAAGGAGACUGCCGGUGACAAACCGGAGGAAGUGGGGAUGACGUCAAAUCAUCAUGCCCCUUAUGACCUGGGCUACACACGUGCUACAAUGGACGGUACAAACGGUUGCCAACCGCGAGGGGGAGCUAAUCCGAUAAAACCGUUCUCAGUUCGGAUUGUAGGCUGCAACUCGCCUACAUGAAGCC